AGUCGAGCGGGGAAGAGUAGCUUGCUACUUGACCUAGCGGCGGACGGGUGAGUAAUGCUUAGGAAUCUGCCUAUUAGUGGGGGACAACAUCUCGAAAGGGAUGCUAAUACCGCAUACGUCCUACGGGAGAAAGCAGGGGACCUUCGGGCCUUGCGCUAAUAGAUGAGCCUAAGUCGGAUUAGCUAGUUGGUGGGGUAAAGGCCUACCAAGGCGACGAUCUGUAGCGGGUCUGAGAGGAUGAUCCGCCACACUGGGACUGAGACACGGCCCAGACUCCUACGGGAGGCAGCAGUGGGGAAUAUUGGACAAUGGGGGGAACCCUGAUCCAGCCAUGCCGCGUGUGUGAAGAAGGCCUUUUGGUUGUAAAGCACUUUAAGCGAGGAGGAGGCUACCGAGAUUAAUACUCUUGGAUAGUGGACGUUACUCGCAGAAUAAGCACCCGGCUAACUCUGUGCCAGCAGCCGCGGUAAUACAGAGGGUGCAAGCGUUAAUCGGAUUUACUGGGCGUAAAGCGCGCGUAGGUGGCCAAUUAAGUCAAAUGUGAAAAUCCCCGAGCUUAACUUGGGGAAUUGCCUUUCGAUACUGGUUGGCUAGAGUAUGGGGAGAAGGAUGGUAGAAUUCCCAGGUGUAGCGGUGAAACGCCCUAGAGAUCUGGAAGGAAUACCGAUGGCGAAGGCAGCCAUCUGGCCUAAUACCUGACACUGAGUGUGCGAAAGCAUGGUGGAGCAAACAGGAUAGAUACCCUGGUAGUCC
This 753-nucleotide ribosomal RNA is filed under the name uncultured bacterium. Its description in RNAcentral is "bacterial SSU rRNA". It matches the Rfam family "Bacterial small subunit ribosomal RNA", at positions 60 to 796 of the family's 1533-position model. The record is from RNAcentral.